CAUUAUCAACCUACCAAGAAAUAAAGUUUGUUCUGUUUUUUCUGCUCCUUUGAUCUCUUUGCUAAAAUUCAUGCGGUGAUUUGUGUUCCAGGCCAAUCAAGAGGCUGAACAGAGCUGUGCAGGUGAGCAUGCAUUCAUUAUAUUCCCACGGUUGAUAUUCUUUGCGGUACUACAUCUAUGGUAGAUUUAGUCGCUGCUGCCAUACACCAGAUACCCAGAUCUUCUUUAGGCCCUUCGUCGGCGAGGAGUAUCACAAGGUACGCCAAUCGCUUGGUCUUAUCUUCCUGCUCUACGAAAACAAGCACACAAACCCAAUUUACUAUGUUACACCCUUGGCUUCCGACGAGGUGGACGAGGCGUGAGGCUGACGGUGGCGCUGGUAGUCCGCAAGGAACCGGAUUUGGACGCGCUCUCCCUCGUCGCUAGGUAAGAGACCCAGGUAAGGAACAUAUAAGUGGUUGUUCUGAUUUUGGAUAUUAGCCAAUUUCCCCCUCCAAUCUGUUACUGAUUUAUAUGCCCUUCUAGGGAUCAGCAGAUCCCACACCUAUUACAUGAUUUGUCCUUCUAGAAUAGAAUCCGCUUUCUAUCUUCUGAACCGGCACUGCCUUCUUCAAUAUCGGCCACCGGUCGGUCCACCUCUUCAAUAAUCGUCCUUCACUUCAGUUGUGAGUUGUGACA
This 678-nucleotide long non-coding RNA is filed under the name Zea mays. RNAcentral's name for it is "long non-coding RNA (ZMAY_LNC001963)". Lineage: Eukaryota; Viridiplantae; Streptophyta; Magnoliopsida; Poales; Poaceae. The record is from RNAcentral.